CAGGAAGUUCCGAUGCGUUAUCUGCUAUUAAGCAGUGAGAAUUGGUUUUUAGUUAAUUUACCUGGUAAAAUAAAAUUUAAAUAAAUUACAUAAAUGCUCUAAUAGUACACGUAGUUCCGGUCCGAAGCCUUGUAGUUCCCGUACCAGACAGUGAUGCAGCUGGAGAGAAGGCUUUCGAUGGUGCUGGUGUAGAAUGUCUUGAGGAUCUGUGGUGGGAGGAGCGCUCUUUUCAGUCUUCACAGAAAGCGCAGGCAUCUUGACUCCCCAGUUCCAGAGACCCCCACAAAGACGAGAGCUGCCCUCACCCAAGCUACUGAGGAAAGCCUUCCUCAUUGCGGAG
Long non-coding RNA from Paramormyrops kingsleyae, 340 nucleotides. RefSeq lists it as uncharacterized. The record is from RefSeq and is a predicted model, not a curated record. NCBI's taxonomy places the organism in Eukaryota, Metazoa, Chordata, Actinopteri, Osteoglossiformes, Mormyridae.